This 253-nucleotide ribosomal RNA is filed under the name uncultured bacterium. RNAcentral's name for it is "partial 16S ribosomal RNA". It matches the Rfam family "Bacterial small subunit ribosomal RNA", at positions 524 to 776 of the family's 1533-position model. The record is from RNAcentral.
UACGGAGGGUGCGAGCGUUGUCCGGAAUCACUGGGCGUAAAGGGCGCGUAGGUGGUUUGAUAAGGGUGUGGUGAAAGUCCGGAGCUCAACUCCGGAUCUGCCGUGCCGACUGUCAAACUCGAGGGCUGUAGAGGCAGACGGAAUUCCGGGUGUAGCGGUGGAAUGCGUAGAGAUCCGGAGGAAGACCGGUGGCGAAGGCGGUCUGCUGGGCAGUUUCUGACACUGAGGCGCGACAGCGUGGGGAGCAAACAGG